AGAACGAACGUUGGCGGCGUGGAUUAGGCAUGCAAGUCGAGCGAAUCUCAGCUUUGUAGCAAUACCGAGUUGGGGGAAGCGGCGAAAGGGGCAGUAAUGCAUGGGUAACGUACCCCGGGGACGCGGAUAGCUAUUCUAACGAGUAGGUAAUACGCGGCGAUUUGACGAGGGGGCAUCCUCUUGUCAGGAAAUGAAUUUCGCCUCGGGAGCGGCUCAUGUCGUAUUAGCUAGUUGGUGAGGUAACGGCUCACCAAGGCAAAGAUGCGUAGCGGGUGUGAGAGCACGACCCGCGCCACUGGCACUGAGACACUGGCCAGACACCUACGGGUGGCUGCAGUCGAGGAUCUUCGGCAGUGGGCGCAAGCCUGACCGAGCGACGCCGCGUGUGCGAUGAAGGCCUUCGGUGUAACGCACUGUCGAGGGAGUAAAGCCGAAAGUUGAUUGAGUCCUGGAGAGCGAGGUCGUAGUCGCGCAGCGCGCGUA
Molecule: ribosomal RNA, 483 nt
Filed under: uncultured soil bacterium
Lineage: Bacteria
Description: bacterial SSU rRNA
Rfam family: Bacterial small subunit ribosomal RNA
Source: RNAcentral